GUAAGUGGUUUUUGUAGAUCAA
Molecule: microRNA, 22 nt
Filed under: Caenorhabditis elegans
Lineage: Eukaryota; Metazoa; Nematoda; Chromadorea; Rhabditida; Rhabditidae
Description: cel-miR-4816-5p
Source: miRBase by way of RNAcentral